GACGAACGCUGGCGGCGUGCCUAAUACAUGCCAGUUGAGCGCUGAAGGUUGGUACUUGUACCAACUGGAUGAGCAGCGAACGGGUGAGUAACGCGUGGGGAAUCUGCCUUUGAGCGGGGGACAACAUUUGGAAACGAAUGCUAAUACCGCAUAAAAACUUUAAACACAAGUUUUAAGUUUGAAAGAUGCAAUUGCAUCACUCAAAGAUGAUCCCGCGUUGUAUUAGCUAGUUGGUGAGGUAAAGGCUCACCAAGGCGAUGAUACAUAGCCGACCUGAGAGGGUGAUCGGCAACAUUGGGACUGAGACACGGCCCAAACUCCUACGGGAGGCAGCAGUAGGGAAUCUUCGGCAAUGGACGAAAGUCUGACCGAGCAACGCCGCGUGAGUGAAGAAGGUUUUCGGAUCGUAAAACUCUGUUGGUAGAGAAGAACGUUGGUGAGAGUGGAAAGCUCAUCAAGUGACGGUAACUACCCAGAAAGGGACGGCUAACUACGUG
RNAcentral lists this ribosomal RNA (497 nucleotides) under uncultured bacterium. RNAcentral describes it as "partial 16S ribosomal RNA". It matches the Rfam family "Bacterial small subunit ribosomal RNA", at positions 28 to 507 of the family's 1533-position model. The record is from RNAcentral.